Molecule: long non-coding RNA, 242 nt
Filed under: Homo sapiens (human)
Lineage: Eukaryota; Metazoa; Chordata; Mammalia; Primates; Hominidae
Description: HSALNT0102641
Source: RNAcentral
GAGAGUGCCCUGAGAAAAUAUCCUCCAAAAAGGAAGUUGAAACAAAGACCUUUUUUAGACAGAUAAAAGCCGAGAGAAUUGACUGUUGCCAGACCCAUGCUACCAAAAAAUCACAAAGGAAGUUCUUCAAACACGGAAAAUAAUACAAGAUACAAACCUGGAUCUGCACAGAAGUAUAAAAGGACAUUGAAUGGAAAUAUGUGGCAGAGAUGGCAAGCACAAAGAAAUGAGAUUCACGCUAU